RNAcentral lists this ribosomal RNA (473 nucleotides) under uncultured bacterium. RNAcentral describes it as "partial 16S ribosomal RNA". It matches the Rfam family "Bacterial small subunit ribosomal RNA", at positions 28 to 523 of the family's 1533-position model. The record is from RNAcentral.
GACGAACGCUGGCGGCGUGCUUAACACAUGCAAGUUGAACGGGUCAUAUGUGAAGGGUAACCGGAGUGUAUGGCUAGUGGCGAACGGGUGAGUAAUGCAUGAGAACGUAUCCUCAAGAGGGGGACAACAUUGGGAAACCGAUGCUAAUACCCCAUAAGCCGGGAGGUAAAAGGAGGAAUCCGCUUGAGGAGCGGCUCAUGUCCUAUCAGCCAGUUGGCGAGGUAACGGCUCACCAAGGCGAAGACGGGUAGCCGGCCUGAGAGGGUGAACGGCCACACUGGAACUGAGAGACGGUCCAGACUCCUCCGUGAUGCAGCAGGGGGGAAUAUUGGGCAAUGGGGGAAACCCAGACCCAGCGCAGCCGCGUGAGGGAAGAAGGCCUUAGGGUCGUAAACCUCCGUUGUGUGGGAGGAAGAGCGUGACGGUACCACACGAGGAAGUCCCGGCUAACUACGUGCCAGCAGCCGCUGUAA